GUAGGGUGCAAGCGUUAAUCGGAAUUACUGGGCGUAAAGCGUGCGCAGGCGGUUUUGUAAGACAGUGGUGAAAUCCCCGGGCUCAACCUGGGAACUGCCAUUGUGACUGCAAGGCUGGAGUGCGGCAGAGUGGGAUGGAAUUCCGCGUGUAGCAGUGAAAUGCGUAGAUAUGCGGAGGAACACCGAUGGCGAAGGCAAUCCCCUGGGCCUGCACUGACGCUCAUGCACGAAAGCGUGGGGAGCAAACAGGAUUAGAUACCCUGGUAGUCCCACGCCCCUAAACGAUGUCAACUGGUUGUUGGGAAUUUAUUUUCUCAGUAACGAAGCUAACGCGUGAAGUUGACCGCCUGGGAGUACGGCCGCAAGGUUA
This 370-nucleotide ribosomal RNA is filed under the name uncultured organism. Its description in RNAcentral is "partial 16S ribosomal RNA". It matches the Rfam family "Bacterial small subunit ribosomal RNA", at positions 527 to 896 of the family's 1533-position model. The record is from RNAcentral.